UAGCAGAAUGGUUAAGGUGUCCGUUUCGUAAGCGGAAGAUCAUGGGCUCGAUUCCCAU
This 58-nucleotide transfer RNA is filed under the name Culex quinquefasciatus (southern house mosquito). It matches the Rfam family "tRNA", at positions 8 to 63 of the family's 71-position model. Rfam says of the family: Transfer RNA (tRNA) molecules are approximately 80 nucleotides in length. Lineage: Eukaryota; Metazoa; Arthropoda; Insecta; Diptera; Culicidae. The record is from Rfam by way of RNAcentral.